CAUGCAAAAAUCCGUAAACCAGUGAAUUCAGCCCUAAACUAUCUAUUAAUCUUAGGGAGUAAGGACAUAGCAAGCGUAUCAUAAAACUCAGCUAAAGACGCUUACCUCAGCCACGCCCCCACGGGAUUCAGCAGUGAUAAAAAUUAAGCAAUGAACGAAAGUUUGACUAAGUUAUACCUACAUAAUAGGGUUGGUAAAUUUCGUGCCAGCCACCGCGGUCAUACGAUUAACCCAAAUUAAUAUUAUACCGGCGUAAAACGUGCCACAGAGAAAAAACACAAUAGAAUUAAAAACCAACCAAUAUGUGAAAAUUCAUCGUUGGACUAAACAUCAGUAACGAAAGUAAUUCUAAUUAUUAUACACGAUAGCUAAGAUCCAAACUGGGAUUAGAUACCCCACUAUGCUUAGCCCUAAACUUCAACAUUACAUAACGAAAUCGUUUGCCUGAGAACUACUGGCUAUCGCUUAAAACUCAAAGGACUUGGCGGUACUUUAUAUCCAUCUAGAGGAGCCUGUUCUAUAAUCGAUAAACCCCGAUUUACCUCACCAUCCCUUGCUAAUUCAGCCUAUAUACCGCCAUCUUCAGCAAACCUUAAAAAGGAAUAAAAGUAAGCAAGAGAACUACUCACUAAAAACGUUAGGUCAAGGUGUAGCCUAUGGAAUGGGAAGUAAUGGGCUACAUUUUCUAUAUAAAGAACAUUACGAUACCCUAUGUGAAAUAUAUAGGACAAAGGAGGAUUUAGUAGUAAAUUAAGAAUAGAGAGCUUAAU
This 770-nucleotide ribosomal RNA is filed under the name Dipodomys phillipsii (Phillips's kangaroo rat). Its description in RNAcentral is "partial 12S ribosomal RNA". The record is from RNAcentral. Lineage: Eukaryota; Metazoa; Chordata; Mammalia; Rodentia; Heteromyidae.